Molecule: ribosomal RNA, 490 nt
Filed under: uncultured bacterium
Lineage: Bacteria
Description: partial 16S ribosomal RNA
Rfam family: Bacterial small subunit ribosomal RNA
Source: RNAcentral
AUUGAACGCUGGCGGCAGGCCUAACACAUGCAAGUCGAACGGUAACAGGAAGAAGCUUGCUUCUUUGCUGACGAGUGGCGGACGGGUGAGUAAUGUCUGGGAAACUGCCUGAUGGAGGGGGAUAACUACUGGAAACGGUAGCUAAUACCGCAUAACGUCGCAAGACCAAAGAGGGGGACCUUCGGGCCUCUUGCCAUCGGAUGUGCCCUGAUGGGAUUAGCGAGUAGGUGGGGUAACGGCUCACCUAGGCGACGAUCCCUAGCUGGUCUGAGAGGCUGACCAGCCACACUGGAACUGAGACACGGUCCAGACUCCUACGGGAGGCAGCAGUGGGGAAUAUUGCACAAUGGGCGCAAGCCUGAUGCAGCCAUGCCGCGUGUAUGAAGAAGGCCUUCGGGUUGUAAAGUACUUUCAGCGGGGAGGAAGGGAGUAAAGUUAAUACCUUUGCUCAUUGACGUUACCCGCAGAAGAAGCACCGGCUAACUCCGUG